GACGAACGCUGGCGGCGUGCUUGACACAUGCAAGUCGAACGGAAAGGCCUGCUUUCCCUUGUGGAUUGCGGGUACUCGAGUGGCGAACGGGUGAGUAACACGUGAGUGAUCUGCCCCCAACUUGGGUAUAAGCCUGGGAAACUGGGUCUAAUUCCCGAUAGGACUGCAGGGUGGUGCCUGUGGUGGAAAACGAUUUUCUAGUGGUUGGGGAUGAGCUCGCGGCCUAUCAGCUUGUUGGUGGGGUAAUGGCCUACCAAGGCGGCGACGGGGAGCCGGCCUGAGAGGGUGGACGGCCACAUUGGGACUGAGAUACGGCCCAGACUCCUACGGGAGGCAGCAGUGGGGAAUAUUGCACAAUGGGCGGAAGCCUGAUGCAGCGACGCCGCGUGGGGGAUGACGGCCUUCGGGUUGUAAACUCCUUUCGACCGCGAGGAAGCCACCUGGUUGGAAGGGUGGUGACGGUAGUGGUAGAAGAAGCACCGGCUAACUACGUG
RNAcentral lists this ribosomal RNA (494 nucleotides) under uncultured bacterium. Its description in RNAcentral is "partial 16S ribosomal RNA". It matches the Rfam family "Bacterial small subunit ribosomal RNA", at positions 28 to 507 of the family's 1533-position model. The record is from RNAcentral.